RNAcentral lists this microRNA (23 nucleotides) under Homo sapiens (human). RNAcentral's name for it is "hsa-miR-1229-3p". The record is from miRBase by way of RNAcentral. Lineage: Eukaryota; Metazoa; Chordata; Mammalia; Primates; Hominidae.
CUCUCACCACUGCCCUCCCACAG